This 1205-nucleotide ribosomal RNA is filed under the name Russula sp. 1E5. RNAcentral describes it as "eukaryotic LSU rRNA". The stretch from base 562 to 1205 matches the Rfam family "Eukaryotic large subunit ribosomal RNA", at positions 1 to 614 of the family's 3401-position model. Lineage: Eukaryota; Fungi; Basidiomycota; Agaricomycetes; Russulales; Russulaceae. The record is from RNAcentral.
GGAUCAUUAUCGAACAAUGGAGGUGCUAGGGCUGUCGCUAAACUUUUGUGCACGCCCCGGUGCUCUCUCACAAUCCAUCUCACCCCCUUGUGCAUCACCGCGUGGGUGCUCUCCUUUCUGAAAGGGGGCAUUUGCGCUUUUAUACAGACCCACUGCAUGUGUAGAAUGUGUUACUGUUUGCAAUAAUAUGCGAUCAAUACAACUUUCAACAACGGAUCUCUUGGCUCUCGCAUCGAUGAAGAACGCAGCGAAAUGCGAUACGUAAUGUGAAUUGCAGAAUUCAGUGAAUCAUCGAAUCUUUGAACGCACCUUGCGCCCCUUGGAAUUCCGAGGGGCACACCCGUUUGAGUGUCGUGAACAUCCUUCAACCUUUCUUGGUUUCUCGAUCAAGAAAGGCUUGGACUUUGGAGGUUUUAAUUGCUGGCCUCCCUCGAAGCCAGCUCCUCCUAAAUGGAUUAGUGGGGUCUGCAACCUUGACGUGAUAAGAUGUUUCUACGUCUUUGGUUUUGCACUGUUGCCCUGCUUCUAAUCGUCUUGCAUUCAGGACAGAGUCAUGAACCUUGACCUCAAAUCGGGUGAGACUACCCGCUGAACUUAAGCAUAUCAAUAAGCGGAGGAAAAGAAACUAACAAGGAUUCCCCUAGUAACUGCGAGUGAAGCGGGAAAAGCUCAAAUUUAAAAUCUGGUGGCCCUUCCGCCAUCCGAGUUGUAAUUUAGAGAAGCGUCUUCCGCGCUGGACCGUGCAUAAGUCUCCUGGAACGGAGCGUCAUAGAGGGUGAGAAUCCCGUCUUUGGCACGGAACCCCAGGGCUUCUGUGAUGCGCUCUCGAAGAGUCGAGUUGUUUGGGAAUGCAGCUCAAAAUGGGUGGUGAACUCCAUCUAAAGCUAAAUAUUGGCGAGAGACCGAUAGCGAACAAGUACCGUGAGGGAAAGAUGAAAAGCACUUUGGAAAGAGAGUGAAACAGUACGUGAAAUUGUUGAAAGGGAAACGCUUGAAGUCAGUCGCAUCGACCGAGACUCAGCCUUGCCUCGGCUUGGUGUACUUCUCGGCUGAUGGGUCAGCAUCGAUUUCGACCCUUGGAUAAUGGUGGGGGAAAGGUGGCACCUUUACCGGUGUGUUAUAGUCCUCUGUCGGAUGUGGGGGUUGGGAUCGAGGAACUCAGCAUGCGCCUUUCGGUGUCGGGGCCUUGGCCCACGUCUACGUGC